Molecule: non-coding RNA, 95 nt
Filed under: human gut metagenome
Description: yjdF RNA
Rfam family: azaaromatic riboswitch aptamer (yjdF RNA)
Source: RNAcentral
ACAAAGUUAAAAACACAGUUUCGGUUGGUAGUCCGAACGUAAUAAUUUUAUUAUCAGUAACCUUCCUCCUAGGUCGUCCAUACUUUGUUUAUAUU